This 253-nucleotide ribosomal RNA is filed under the name uncultured bacterium. RNAcentral's name for it is "partial 16S ribosomal RNA". It matches the Rfam family "Bacterial small subunit ribosomal RNA", at positions 524 to 776 of the family's 1533-position model. The record is from RNAcentral.
UACGUAGGGUCCGAGCGUUGUCCGGAAUUAUUGGGCGUCAAGAGCUCGUAGGCGGUUUGUCGCGUCUGCUGUGAAAACUCGGGGCUUAACCCCGGGCCUGCAGUGGGUACGGGCAGACUAGAGUGCGGUAGGGGAGACUGGAAUUCCUGGUGUAGCGGUGAAAUGCGCAGAUAUCAGGAGGAACACCGGUGGCGAAGGCGGGUCUCUGGGCCGUAACUGACGCUGAGGAGCGAAAGCGUGGGGAGCGAACAGG